AAGCAGUGGGAGCACCUUCGGGUGUGACUGCGUACCUUUUGUAUAAUGGGUCAGCGACUUAUAUUCUGUAGCAAGGUUAACCGUAUAGGGGAGCCGCAGGGAAACCGAGUCUUAACUGGGCGUUAAGUUGCAGGGUAUAGACCCGAAACCCGGUGAUCUAGCCAUGGGCAGGUUGAAGGUUGGGUAACACUAACUGGAGGACCGAACCGACUAAUGUUGAAAAAUUAGCGGAUGACUUGUGGCUGGGGGUGAAAGGCCAAUCAAACCGGGAGAUAGCUGGUUCUCCCCGAAAGCUAUUUAGGUAGCGCCUCGUGAAUUCAUCUUCGGGGGUAGAGCACUGUUUCGGCUAGGGGUCAUCCCGACUUACCAACCCGAUGCAAACUACGAAUACCGAAGAAUGUUAUCACGGGAGACACACGGCGGGUGCUAACGUCCGUCGUGAAGAGGGAAACAACCCAGACCGCCAGCUAAGGUCCCAAAGUCAUGGUUAAGUGGGAAACGAUGUGGGAAGGCACAGACAGCCAGGAUGUUGGCUUAGAAGCAGCCAUCAUUUAAAGAAAGCGUAAUAGCUCACUGGUCGAGUCGGCCUGCGCGGAAGAUGUAACGGGGCUAAACCAUGCACCGAAGCUGCGGCAGC
RNAcentral lists this ribosomal RNA (637 nucleotides) under Klebsiella pneumoniae. RNAcentral's name for it is "bacterial LSU rRNA". It matches the Rfam family "Bacterial large subunit ribosomal RNA", at positions 568 to 1209 of the family's 2925-position model. Lineage: Bacteria; Pseudomonadati; Pseudomonadota; Gammaproteobacteria; Enterobacterales; Enterobacteriaceae. The record is from RNAcentral.